UACGGGGGGAGCAAGCGUUGUUCGGAUUUACUGGGCGUAAAGGGCGCGUAGGCGGCGCAACAAGUCACUUAUGAAAUCUCCGGGCUUAACCCGGAGCGGCCAAGUGAUACUGUCGUGCUAGAGUGCGGAAGGGGCUACUGGAAUUCUCGGUGUAGCGGUGAAAUGCGUAGAUAUCGAGAGGAACACCUGCGGCGAAGGCGGGUAGCUGGGCCGACACUGACGCUGAGGCGCGAAAGCCAGGGGAGCGAACGGG
RNAcentral lists this ribosomal RNA (253 nucleotides) under uncultured bacterium. Its description in RNAcentral is "partial 16S ribosomal RNA". It matches the Rfam family "Bacterial small subunit ribosomal RNA", at positions 524 to 776 of the family's 1533-position model. The record is from RNAcentral.